UGCUCGUGCCUGUGCGAGGCAAGAGGAAAGGGUGAGCGAUUUCAGGAUGCCACAGUAAAACUGAUGGAUUCAUCCCCAGGGCUCUGCUGGACUGCGAUUUCUGACACAUCAGCUGUGGAAAUCCAGGGUAAUUUUGCCGAAGCCUUUCCAGAUAUCCGCCUGUGUGAAUGAGACCAGGAUCUGGCCUGGCUGCUUUAAAGAAACACUGCCCAGUCAUUGAGCUCCAAGAUGCAUGUUUUUGCCUUCUGCUGCUUUUAGCAAAUGUUAUAUGCAGUAUUCGUACAAGGCAUUUCUUCCUGUUAAAUGAAAAGUMUCUUUUUUUAGAAAUGCUCCUGCAGUGCUGGAAACUACGGUGUUUCUUUCGGUGAGAGAGGUCAUGAGACCCUCAGGAAGCUGGGGAGCUGAUCCCCCUCUCCGUGCCCGCUGGAAAGGCAACGGCGGGUUGGGACCGACCCUGCAGCAGCUCCAGCAGCUGGAGCCUCAGGCUGCCUGAUUUAAGGCACUAACAUUAGCACAGGCUGAAACAGGGACUGCUGCCGCAGCCUUUUCUCCCGGACGGGACCCUCACCCGGGUGAGCGACUCCCUGGGCUUUUUGGGAGCUCCUGGCUGAGCAGCCGCCCUGGCCCCGGUCUCCAGGCUGCCUGCCCGGGUGCUGCUGCGGGCUGUCCAUGCCGGAGCGCCUCGCCAGCUCGGAGCUAACGACGUGGCAGCAGCAGGAUGAGCAAAUAUUCGAAGAGAACAACGAGACCACUAACCUCCUUCAACCUGUGAUCUUGGACACGGAUUUUGCCAUUAUUCCAAAAGGGGAAGAACAUGUGCUCCAGCCCGCCCAGACUGCCUGGCUCCCUCUGUUCAGUUCAUAUCUAGAUGACUGCAGAUGUGCCUCGUGCAGUUCUCCUGUGAGCUCCCCGUACAAUAAUCAAGUGCAGUGACCAGAAAGGUCUCUCACUGCAGCUCCAUUAACAUAAGCUCCCUACUGUGAUUCUGAAGAGUCCCCAGAUGCGUAAAUGCCAUUAUUUUGUAUUGACUAACCCAGCAUCAGGAGAGGCAUGGGGGAUGGAGRGAAGAGAACAGCAAACAAAAUAGUGCACAGCUUCAAACAGGCUGUUUCAAAUGACAUGAGUCAUCCAGGGGCCUCGUAACCCACCUUGGGYCAUGCCCUUUGGAGGACAGUACCUCCUUCUGUAGUGCAGGACUUCCCCAACCCAAGUAACUUUUCCACUUUGAAAAAUAAACGAGGAGGUGGGCUUCCUUCUGCUUUCCA
Molecule: long non-coding RNA, 1265 nt
Filed under: Dromaius novaehollandiae (emu)
Lineage: Eukaryota; Metazoa; Chordata; Aves; Casuariiformes; Dromaiidae
Description: lncRNA (ENSDNVG00000013195.1)
Source: RNAcentral